Molecule: ribosomal RNA, 631 nt
Filed under: Saccharomyces cerevisiae (brewer's yeast)
Lineage: Eukaryota; Fungi; Ascomycota; Saccharomycetes; Saccharomycetales; Saccharomycetaceae
Description: eukaryotic LSU rRNA
Rfam family: Eukaryotic large subunit ribosomal RNA
Source: RNAcentral
ACCCGCUGAACUUAAGCAUAUCAAUAAGCGGAGGAAAAAGAAACCAACCGGGAUUGCCUUAGUAACGGCGAGUGAAGCGGCAAAAGCUCAAAUUUGAAAUCUGGUACCUUCGGUGCCCGAGUUGUAAUUUGGAGAGGGCAACUUUGGGGCCGUUCCUUGUCUAUGUUCCUUGGAACAGGACGUCAUAGAGGGUGAGAAUCCCGUGUGGCGAGGAGUGCGGUUCUUUGUAAAGUGCCUUCGAAGAGUCGAGUUGUUUGGGAAUGCAGCUCUAAGUGGGUGGUAAAUUCCAUCUAAAGCUAAAUAUUGGCGAGAGACCGAUAGCGAACAAGUACAGUGAUGGAAAGAUGAAAAGAACUUUGAAAAGAGAGUGAAAAAGUACGUGAAAUUGUUGAAAGGGAAGGGCAUUUGAUCAGACAUGGUGUUUUGUGCCCUCUGCUCCUUGUGGGUAGGGGAAUCUCGCAUUUCACUGGGCCAGCAUCAGUUUUGGUGGCAGGAUAAAUCCAUAGGAAUGUAGCUUGCCUCGGUAAGUAUUAUAGCCUGUGGGAAUACUGCCAGCUGGGACUGAGGACUGCGACGUAAGUCAAGGAUGCUGGCAUAAUGGUUAUAUGCCNCCCGUCUGAAACACGGACCA